AACGAACGCUGGCGGCAUGCCUAACACAUGCAAGUCAAACGAGACCUUCGGGUCUAGUGGCGCACGGGUGCGUAACGCGUGGGAACCUGCCCUUAGGUUCGGAAUAACUCCCCGAAAGGGGUGCUAAUACCGGAUAAUGUCUUCGGACCAAAGAUUUAUCGCCUUUGGAUGGGCCCGCGUUGGAUUAGCUAGUUGGUAGGGUAAAAGCCUACCAAGGCGACGAUCCAUAGCUGGUCUGAGAGGAUGAUCAGCCACACUGGGACUGAGACACGGCCCAGACUCCUACGGGAGGCAGCAGUGGGGAAUAUUGGACAAUGGGCGAAAGCCUGAUCCAGCAAUGCCGCGUGAGUGAUGAAGGCCUUAGGGUUGUAAAGCUCUUUUACCCGGGAUGAUAAUGACAGUACCGGGAGAAUAAGCUCCGGCUAACUCCGUG
RNAcentral lists this ribosomal RNA (433 nucleotides) under uncultured bacterium. Its description in RNAcentral is "partial 16S ribosomal RNA". It matches the Rfam family "Bacterial small subunit ribosomal RNA", at positions 29 to 507 of the family's 1533-position model. The record is from RNAcentral.